UACGUAGGGGGCAAGCGUUGUUCGGAAUUACUGGGCGUAAAGGGCGCGUAGGCGGCAUGGCAAGUCAGGAGUGAAAGGCCUGGGCUCAACCCAGGAACUGCUUUUGAGACUGCCAAGCUAGAGUGCGGAAGGGGCAACUGGAAUUCCCAGUGUAGCGGUGAAAUGCGUAGAUAUUGGGAAGAACACCGGAGGCGAAGGCGGGUUGCUGGGCCGACACUGACGCUGAGGCGCGAAAGCCAGGGGAGCAAACGGG
RNAcentral lists this ribosomal RNA (253 nucleotides) under uncultured bacterium. RNAcentral describes it as "partial 16S ribosomal RNA". It matches the Rfam family "Bacterial small subunit ribosomal RNA", at positions 524 to 776 of the family's 1533-position model. The record is from RNAcentral.